Molecule: transfer RNA, 77 nt
Filed under: Gammaproteobacteria bacterium
Lineage: Bacteria; Pseudomonadati; Pseudomonadota; Gammaproteobacteria
Also listed under: 2 other names
Description: tRNA-Pro
Rfam family: tRNA
About the family: Transfer RNA (tRNA) molecules are approximately 80 nucleotides in length. Their secondary structure includes four short double-helical elements and three loops (D, anti-codon, and T loops).
Source: RNAcentral
CGGGGCGUGGCGCAGUUUGGUAGCGCACUUGACUGGGGGUCAAGUGGUCGGAGGUUCAAAUCCUCUCGCCCCGACCA